RNAcentral lists this ribosomal RNA (402 nucleotides) under uncultured bacterium. RNAcentral describes it as "bacterial SSU rRNA". It matches the Rfam family "Bacterial small subunit ribosomal RNA", at positions 380 to 774 of the family's 1533-position model. The record is from RNAcentral.
AGUCUGAUGGAGCAACGCCGCGUGAGUGAAGAAGGUUUUCGGAUCGUAAAACUCUGUUGUUGGAGAAGAACACGUUUGAGAGUAACUGUUCAGACGUUCACGGUAUCCAACCAGAAAGCCACGGCUAACUACGUGCCAGCAGCCGCGGUAAUACGUAGGGGGCGAGCGUUGUCCGGAAUGACUGGGCGUAAAGGGCGUGUAGGCGGCCUGAUAAGUCUGGAGUGAAAGUCCUGCUUUUAAGGUGGGAAUUGCUUUGGAUACUGUCGGGCUUGAGUGCGGAAGAGGUAAGUGGAAUUCCCAGUGUAGCGGUGAAAUGCGUAGAGAUUGGGAGGAACACCAGUGGCGAAGGCGACUUACUGGGCCGUAACUGACGCUGAGGCGCGAAAGCGUGGGGAGCGAACA